UACGAGGGGGGCGAGCGUUGUUCGGAAUUAUUGGGCGUAAAGGGCGCGUAGGCGGUCGGAUAAGUCUUGUGUGAAAUCUUCGGGCUCAACUCGAAGUCUGCACAGGAAGCUAUCUGGCUUGAGUGUGGGAGAGGUGAGUGGAAUUCCUGGUGUAGCGGUGAAAUGCGUAGAUAUCAGGAGGAACACCUGUGGCGAAAGCGGCUCACUGGACCACAACUGACGCUGAGGCGCGAAAGCCAGGGGAGCGAACGGG
RNAcentral lists this ribosomal RNA (253 nucleotides) under uncultured bacterium. Its description in RNAcentral is "partial 16S ribosomal RNA". It matches the Rfam family "Bacterial small subunit ribosomal RNA", at positions 524 to 776 of the family's 1533-position model. The record is from RNAcentral.